CCGUGGCCCCCUCACUUGCCCACACCUUCUGCCUCCUGCUAACCCCUGAGCUUGCCUCUGGAAACAAGUCAAGUGGCCCCAGUGCCGGGGUGACAGAGGCCUGUCUUAGCUGAACAGCUACGCUCUUUGUGCCUUUCCUAUGUGGUCAUUUCCACGUCACCUUUAAAGCAUCUUAGAAAAAUGUCGAUGGUAUCUGAGAUGGUAUCUUCUCCCCCCUCCCACUGGAAACAUUUUUAUCAUUUGGCAGUCAGGUUCCAAUAAUCAUUAAGGGCAUCCACGAGGCAACACUCCCUGGGGGCAGGAGGAGCUGAGUGAGACAGCGUGUGCGAUGUUAGGGGGCUACGGGGAAAGAUAGGGAGAAAUCUGUUUUUGUAAUAGGGAGGAGUUUGGGUCUGACUCUAUGACAUGAACCACAGGUUCCCACCAGCUGCCUCCGAAUACUCCAAGAGGUACUUCGGGGUAUGUGAACACUUAGUCCCCUUACCCGAGGAAGUCACUUUGCCUCUUUUUAUGUGGGGCAGAAAGGUUGUGUUGUAACUGGGGAUAUUACUCUAAUGCUGUCAGGCAGUACUCACAGACUCUGAUUCCCGGUGGCUGUUUAGCCCAGUGUGGCAAGGAUGGUUACUGCACUCACGCCGUGAUGGGUACCAAGAACAUCAGGUGUGUGAGAGAUGCCAUUCCGUGGGUCUUUCACAGAGAGUUCCACCCACCCUGAGUUACCCAAGAGAGCUGCUCCCUACAGCGCAGCCUCAGCUUUCGCUGCCACGCUAUUUCCUGAUAGUAUCUGGUGCCUCUCCAGAUAGCUUCCACUUCUCUCUGCCUCUGCUUUGAUCUCUAACCUCGGUAAGCUGGAUCUGACAUCGGCUCCAUAAAAAUCUGGUCCUGGACCUCUGACCAGGAACUUUGUGUCGCUAAAGAAGUGUGCAUGCAGGCUCCUUGCUUCCUUCUGUGCCUGUGACCUGUUGGGCAGGGCACUAAUUCUUUAAGUCAGCAUUUCAAAGAGAAGAUUAAGAACAAGUUAAGCCUUUAGUUCAAAAAGUUCAGUUAAUCCUAGAGCAAAGCACACUGGGUUUUGAGGCCAUGUGAAAUAGCCAAGACUUAAAGUCAACAGUGGUCAUGGAAAAGUCACACACAGUCCUUUCACUAAGAGGGAGAAAUUUAUAUGGUCAGCGGGAGGUGCUGUUCCGGGAGGAAGAGAACUUGAGAGGGAACGGCUCAGAAGGUGAAGCACAGAGCAUUUUCUGCGACUCUCCUCCGUGCCUGUAAGACUCUUCUGCGAAAACUCACUGGGUUCUCCCUUCACCUAAAAGCUCCUGAAACCUCCAUUCUUCAAAGUGUUCUUCAUCAAGAAGGGAUGUUCACAGAAACUAUAAUCCUUAGAAGAAGGAGGACUUCAGACACUGAAGGGGAGAAGAGCGUUUUCCUGGCAAGGGCAGAGUGUUUCAGGAGGAGGUGACGACAGGCAUGGAGAUUGGAAAGAGAGGUGCUGGGCCAAAGGAAAAGAAGCUUCUGGUCCAACAGAGACAAGAAUUUGGAUUGAUGGAGCCUAACAGCAUGAGGAUGCUUCCUUGGGAACCUUGACAACAUAUUGUGAGGAAGCCCGUGCCACACGGAGAAGCUGACAUGGAGAGGAACUCAGCCCUCCCGCCAGCAGGCAGUUCCAAUUUGCCAGGCAUGUCUGACUUUUCUCCUGCACUGCCUCCUUCCUGCCUGGGGCAACCGGGGACUCAGCCUCUGCCCUGUGAGAAAAGAGACAGGAGAUUCACCUAGUGAAUUCCUUGUGGCCCAAGUGCAAGAGGCUGGAAGGACCUCCUCUAGAGAAGCACUGCACAGGAGACGCGUCGGCAGAGCGAUCAGGGAUAACAAUGAUUUCUGCUUUGUUGAUGAUUUCAUAACGCUUGUCAAGCCGCUAGAACAGAAUCCGACACAGAGGCGCUAAUUAGGACGCGCGCAGGAUCGUGGCUGAGCCGGGGCCUGCGCUGGAGCAUCUGCGGACUCCGCGCUUGGGACGGCGAGAUGGGCAUCCCGGGAACCACCACCGCGCAGGUGGUGGACGCCGAGGGCCUGGGAACACGGCGGCCCUCCCGCUGACAGGUGACUGACCCGGGCGGGCCCGGAGCCGCUCCCGUGACGCCGAGGGCCAAGCUCGAGGCUCGCGGAGGCGGCCGCGGGGCGGCGCUGCGCCCCUUCCGGCCGCUGGGCCUUCUGGCCGCGGGCUCCUCUGCCGCGGGGCUUUUCCUGGGCUCCCAGUCUUCGGCCCGGCGCCGCAGCACAGGAUGCAGUGUCCCGGCGCCGAGUAUCUGGUUUCUGCAGAGAGAACCCCCCGGAAAAGAGAGUGGAGACCUCAGAUUUAUAGGAAGUGCACAGAUACGACAUGGCUAUUCCUCUUCUUUCUCUUUUGGACUGGUUUGCUGUUCAUCAUGGGCUACUCGAUGGUGGCAGGAGCCACGGGAAGACUCCUCUUUGGCUAUGACAGCUUUGGCAAUGUGUGUGGCAAGAAGAACUCCCCUGUAGAAGGGGCCCCUCUUUCAGGGCAGGACAUGACCCUGAAAAGACACGUAUUCUUUAUGAAUUCCUGCAACCCGGAAGUCAAGGACGUGAGGCUCAGUUCCACCAUCCUGUGCGUGUCGAGCUGUCCUGAAGAGCAGCUUGAUACCCUGGAAGAGGUCCAGCUCUUUGCAGACAAGAAUGGGUCCUUCCUGUGUGUUUACAAUUUGAAUUCCAUCAACUACACCCAGAAUCCAAAUGCAGACUCAUUGUGUCCCAGGCUGCCGGUUCCUCCGAGCAAGUCUUUCCCCUUGUUUAACAGAUGCGUCCCUCAAACACCCGAGUGCUAUUCCUUGUUUGCAUCUGUUUUGAUAAAUGAUGUUGACACCCUCCAUCAAAUUCUAAGUGGAAUAAUGUCAGGAAGAGACACAAUCCUUGGUCUGUGUAUCCUCGCAUUAGCCUUGUCUUUGGCCAUGAUGUUCACCUUCUGGUUCAUCACCACCCUUCUGGUUCACAUUUUCAUUGCACUGACUAUUUCGGGACUGCUGUUUGUCUGUGGUGUCUUAUGGUGGCUGUAUUACGACUAUACCCAUGACCUCAGCAUAGAAUUGGACACAGAAAGGGAAAAUAUGAAGUGUUUGCUGGGGUUUGCUCUUGUAUCUACAGUAAUCACGGCAGUUCUGCUCAGCUUGAUUUUUGUCUUCAGAAAGAGAAUAAAAUUGACAGUCGAACUUUUCCAAGUCAUAAAUAAAGCCAUCAGCAACUCUCCAUUCCUGCUGUUACAACCACUAUGGACUUUUGCCAUCCUCAUUUUCUUCUGGGUCCUCUGGGUGGCCGUGCUGCUGAGCCUGGGAACUGCAGGAGCUGCACAGGUUAUUGAAGGUGGCCAAGUGGAAUAUAAGCCUAUUUUAGGCAUUCGGUAUAUGUGGUGGUACCAUUUGAUUGGCCUCAUCUGGACUAGCGAAUUCAUCCUUGCGUGCCAGCAAAUGACUGUAGCCGGCGCACUUGUUACUUGCUAUUUCAACAGAAAUAAAAAUGACCCUCCUGAUCGCCCAAUCCUUUGGUCUCUCUCCACUCUUUUCUGCUACCAUCAAGGAACAGCCAUAAAAGGGUCAUUUUUAAUCACUGUGGCAAGGAUUCCAAGAACCAUUCUCAAGUACAUUUACAACACUCUGAAAGACAAGCAUAAUGCAUGGUCGACGUACAUGUUCAGAUGCUGCUUCUGCUGUUUCUGGUGUCUUGACAAAUGCCUAUGCCAUCUCAACCAGGAUGGAAUUUCAGCCUCACUGAGGUCCAGCUCAGGACUCCUCCAGACCCAUUUCCCACCACAAUCUCUUCUGGGCACUUUGGUCUCAUUCACUGCUUCCUGCUGCUGCCUCAGCCCCUGCCUAUCCCAGUUUUCUGCAGGGAACAGUCAACUUCACCAGCUAUGCGCCACUUCUAAUGCAUAUGCUGCAACUGCCAUUAAUGGGACAGAUUUUUGUACAUCAGCAAAAGAUGCGCUCAAACUCUUAUCCAAGAAUUCAAGUCAUUUCACAUCUGUUAACUGCUUUGGAGACUUCAUAAUUUUUUUAGGAAAGGUGUUGGUGAUGUGUCUCACUGUUUUUGGAGGACUGAUGGCAUUUAACUACAACCGUGCCCUCCAGGUGUGGGCAGUCCCUCUGCUGCUGGUUGCUUUUUUUGCCUACUUUGUAGCCCAUAGUUUCUUAUCUGUGUUUGAAACUGUGCUGGAUGCACUCUUCCUGUGUUUUGCUGUUGAUCUGGAAACAAAUGAUGGAUCGUCGGAAAAGCCCUACUUUAUGGACCAAGAGUUUUUGAGUUUUGUAAAAAGGAUCAACAAGUUAAAAGACACGAGGGCACAGGGGGAGGAGAACUCACUAAGGAACGAGGAGGGAACAGAACUCCAGCCCGUUGUGUGAUAGGUGCCCAUUAGAGUGUUGCCCCUGGAAAGUGUCCUUCUUCUAAGAGCCAUUCACAGAAUAAAUGGUUUCUCAUAUGCAAAAUAGAGAAAAUACCACCUACUUUGGAUUUAGGAGAGGAUUCAACAUAAGCAAUGUAAAAAGCACAGCGUAAUGUGGGCCCCUGGAGAGUUACAUGUGAGUACCUAUUAUGACCACAUACACUCUCCAGGCCAUCCAUUUCAGAAGCUCAUCACACAUUCAGCAGAACUUAUGCUGAGCAGUCCUUAAGGCCUGAAGUCUCAAAGAGCCAGCCACAAGUACAGUAACUCAUUUCUCCAUUUAUGCCAAGCAGACAGUCCAGGUAUAACUGGUAAAAAAGAAAACUUGAAUGGCACCUAUACGAGACAAUGCCACAUGUGGCAGGACAUCUCAACUUUAGGUCACAAGGAGAAAGCUUUUUCAAACCUUAUCCCCCACUGCUGUUGGAUGUGAGCCCUGCCUGCUCUCCAUUGGUUAUGGAAACCUCCCUAUGAGGGGCUGAUCUAUUUUUAACAAGGAAAUACUUCCAUCUUGCAUGGUGUUAGAAUGCUGGCAUUCUCACCAUGCUAUAGCCCCACCUAACUCCUCCUUAGAACACCAGAUCAUUUUACCUACCAAGUUUCCGAGGCAUUAGAAGGAGCAAUUUACUUGGAUCUGGAGCAAGAAAUAAACUUGCUAUAAUAAACGUAUCUCUUUUCUUCUGGUUAGACGGAAAGACCAGCUGUUCUGACUGCCAACACACCAUACUUGUGUUCCUACAGAAAGGUCCUCUGAUUCUUUUGCUUUCUCAGCAAAACCAACUUACCUGAAGGAAUGUACUUUAAAUAUACCAUACAAAGAAUACAUCCUUUGAGCUUAGUAAGUUAAUUGUGGGAUGCCUGGGUGGCUCAGUUGGUUAAGCAUCCAACUUCAGCUUGGGUCAUGAUCUCACUGU
Molecule: RNA transcript, 5361 nt
Organism: Leopardus geoffroyi (Geoffroy's cat)
Lineage: Eukaryota; Metazoa; Chordata; Mammalia; Carnivora; Felidae
Gene: SLC44A3
Gene name: solute carrier family 44 member 3
Exons: 24
Source: RefSeq, a predicted model, not a curated record